RNAcentral lists this RNase P RNA (402 nucleotides) under Rhizobium sp. NFR07. RNAcentral describes it as "Bacterial RNase P class A". It matches the Rfam family "Bacterial RNase P class A". From Rfam's summary of the family: Ribonuclease P (RNase P) is a ubiquitous endoribonuclease, found in archaea, bacteria and eukarya as well as chloroplasts and mitochondria. Its best characterised activity is the generation of mature 5'-ends of tRNAs by cleaving the 5'-leader elements of precursor-tRNAs. Lineage: Bacteria; Pseudomonadati; Pseudomonadota; Alphaproteobacteria; Hyphomicrobiales; Rhizobiaceae. The record is from Rfam by way of RNAcentral.
CCAGUUGGCCGGGCAGCCGCGCUUUACCAAUGCCGAAAGGCGGUAGGGUGAGGAAAGUCCGGGCUCCACGGAAACACGGUGCCGGAUAACGUCCGGCGGGGGCGACCCCAGGGAAAGUGCCACAGAAAGCAAACCGCCUCGCUAUAUGCGGGGUAAGGGUGAAAGGGUGGGGUAAGAGCCCACCGCGCUUCUGGUGACAGCGGCGGCAAGGUAAACCCCACCGGGAGCAAGACCGAAUAGGGAUGACGCGGGGCGCGCAAGUGCCUACAGCCUGUUUCUGGGCCAGUCAUCCGGGUGGGUUGCGCGAGGCGAUGUGCAAGCAUCGUCCCAGAUGAAUGGCUGCCACGUUCCGGUGCUCGCACCGGGGCCAUACAGAACCCGGCUUACAGGCCAACUGGCGAA